Molecule: long non-coding RNA, 519 nt
Filed under: Nicotiana tabacum (common tobacco)
Lineage: Eukaryota; Viridiplantae; Streptophyta; Magnoliopsida; Solanales; Solanaceae
Description: long non-coding RNA (NTAB_LNC008148)
Source: RNAcentral
AUUCCCUAGUCGCCUUUUUACCAACAUUAGGGCUCCAAUCCUUGAGUUGAGAUUUUAGACAUAGGGCCUCCAUUCCCUAGUCGCCUUUUUACCAACAUUAGGGCUCCAAUCCCUUAGUUGAGAUUUUAAACAUAGGGCCUCCAUACUCUAGUCGCCUUUUGCCAAUAUUAGGGCUCCAAUCCCCGAGUUGAGAUUUUAGACAUAAGGCCUCCAUUCCCUAGUCGCCUUUUGCCAACAUUAGGGCUCCAAUCCUUGGAUUGAUAUUUUCAGACAUAAGGCCUCCAUUCCCUAGUCACCUUUUUCCCAACAUUAGGGCCCCAAUCCCUGAGUUGAGAUUUUCAGACAUAGGGCCUCCAUUCCCUAGUCGCCUUUUGCCAACAUUAGGGCUCCAAUCCUUGAGUUGAGAUUUUAAGACAUAGGGCCUCCAUUCCUUAGUCGCCUUUUCUUUACCAACAUUAGGGCUCCAAUCCCUGAGUUGAGAUUUUCAGACAUAGGGCCUCCAUUCCCUAGUCGCCUUUU